Long non-coding RNA from Oncorhynchus masou masou (cherry salmon), 1561 nucleotides. RefSeq lists it as uncharacterized. NCBI's taxonomy places the organism in Eukaryota, Metazoa, Chordata, Actinopteri, Salmoniformes, Salmonidae. The record is from RefSeq and is a predicted model, not a curated record. The transcript is spliced from 3 exons.
CUCCCACUCCCCAACCCCUUCCACACUUCACCUCUCAACCCUUCACUCCCAUUAUUCUUAUGAUGGGAGGGUCUGAUGUACGGACCGUCUCUACUUCUUCAUUUUCACCAAUCUCUUCGUCGCCGUGGUCACCACAAACUUGGAGGAAAAGAUGGCCGACUAUGACGACAAGAACUCUUAAGAGUGUUCGCUGGCUAGCGAUUAUACCGGAAGAUACGGGAGUCCUGAUGGACCAGAGCAGAGGUGGUGACCAAGACCAACAUGACCCGGCACCAGAAGACCUGGAAGAACCUGACCAUUGACACCUUGGAGAAGCAGACCCUUGCCAGCACAAGAGUAUAGUGGAGGGGGUGCACAGCCUGUCGUUCAACGUACAGCAAGAGGUGAUGAUGAGGAACCAUAUGACUGCAACCCUCCAGGACAAACUAUUAAAUAAUGAUAUUGCCACCGUCCAUACUGGAGACAUCCUGUCCACCCUCAUCACCCUGGAGAAGGUAAGAAGGCAGUGGACAUGGCACCAUUCCCCAUAUAGUGCACUAAUUUUGAUCAGAGCCUUAUGGGUGCUCAAUAGAUUCAAUGACUCUUCCUGGAGUUGUCUAUAACCUUAUAUUUACUGUUCUGUUACUAAUGUCAGUUGUGUGUCAAGCUCAUCAAAUCCAAUGUAUUUAUAAAGCCCUUUUUACAUCAGCAGAUGGCACAAAGUGCUUAUACAAAAACCCAUCCUAAAACCCCAAACAGCAAGAAAUGCAGAUGUAGAAGCACAGUGGCUAGGAAAAACUUCCUAGUAAGGCAGGAGCCUAGGAAGAAACCUAGAGAGGAACCAGGCUCUGAGGGGUGGCCAGUCCUCUUCUGGCUGUGCUGGGUGGAGAUUUUCAGAGUACAUGGCAAUUAAGGCCAGAUUGUUCUUCAAGAAGUUCAAGCAUUCAUAGAGCGUCUGCUAAAUGACUUAAAUGUAAAUGUAAAUGACCAGUACGGUCAAAUAAUAAUCACACUUGUUGUAGAGGGUGCAACAGGCCAGUACCUCAGGAGAAAAUGUCAGCUGGCUUUUCAUAACAGAGCAUUUAGAGGUCGAGACAGAAGGUGCGGUAGUCAGUAGAAAACAGCACGUCCAGGAGAAGGUAGCACAUCCUGUGAACAUGUCAGGGUUCCAUAUGCAUGGGCAGAACAGUUAAAACUUGAGCAGCAUCAAGACCAGGUGGACUGUGGGUAGCCAGGAAUCAUCAGGCCUGGUAGUCCAGAGGCACGGUCCUAGGGCUCAUGUCCUCAACUCGAACAGAGCAUCCUCACCUGUUCCAGCAGGGGGAUAUGCGUCAUGCAGCCAUGAGGCUGUCCUACCUGUCUACUUCUACACAUGUGGAUGUGGGACACAGUAACACUCCCAGCACACACCACAACACAGGCUGAACACACCUUUAACAGCCAUUUGGCUUUACUGAUUAGCUGAAAUGAUCUCAAAGAUAAUGUGCUAGGUUUCAUGGUUAAGUCAGACUGUAUGCUUGCUGCACACAUUUGCACAUGCAGAUCAAUGUUGACCAUGUACUGUGAAAUCAAGGGGGAUUUU